Long non-coding RNA from Monomorium pharaonis (pharaoh ant), 546 nucleotides. RefSeq lists it as uncharacterized. The transcript is spliced from 3 exons. The record is from RefSeq and is a predicted model, not a curated record. NCBI's taxonomy places the organism in Eukaryota, Metazoa, Arthropoda, Insecta, Hymenoptera, Formicidae.
UGUGUGUGUGCGUGUGUGUGUUGCUGGUUGUAAUUAAAAUACACAUAUGUAAUGCAAGUCAAGUAUUCUGAAGCGAGUUGCAGCGGAUCAAUAGGACAUGUUGUUAAAAUGCGAACUUUUUGUCCAUCCUGAGUCAUAAAUUCGAUCGCUUGUUCACCAUCCACGAGUCCAGUCUGUUCGAUGCUUCCUAGCUGAUUGAUCGUCGCAACUGCAGUGGCAUCAGUAUCCUCAUCCUAUAAAAAACAAAGCGACGCCCGUUGCUGUGCUCGGCUUCCUUAUGAUAUAAGAUGGAACUUGGGUGACUCAGGACUUUGCCGCAGAUAUCACAAGCAUAGCCUUUAUCCGACUUAGUUUUCUGCAACAUUGUACAAAGAUCUAAUUGUAGAUAUUAUGAGAAGUACAGAUAUUGUGUAUAAUUUUAAGAAAAAAAUCAUAAAAUUAUUAUGUAGAAAUAUUUAAGGACAUUCAGAAUAUCUCUUAAAUGAUUUUAAAAUUAUAUUUUAAUUGUUUUUAAAAUAAUUAAUAAACAGUUAAAUUAUUAAUCAA